UACGUAGGGUGCAAGCGUUGUCCGGAAUUAUUGGGCGUAAAGAGCUCGUAGGCGGUUUGUCGCGUCUGCUGUGAAAACUCGGGGCUUAACCCCGGGCCUGCAGUGGGUACGGGCAGACUAGAGUGUGGUAGGGGAGAUCGGAAUUCCUGGUGUAGCGGUGAAAUGCGCAGAUAUCAGGAGGAACACCGGUGGCGAAGGCGGAUCUCUGGGCCAUUACUGACGCUGAGGAGCGAAAGCGUGGGGAGCGAACAGG
RNAcentral lists this ribosomal RNA (253 nucleotides) under uncultured bacterium. RNAcentral describes it as "partial 16S ribosomal RNA". It matches the Rfam family "Bacterial small subunit ribosomal RNA", at positions 524 to 776 of the family's 1533-position model. The record is from RNAcentral.